AACGCACUUUGCACCAGUUGAAAAAUUGGUAUAUUUGUUUGAAUAUUAUAAUAUUUGCCUCAGAACAUUUAUGUUUUGAGAAUUUGGGCUUAACAGAGGCUUUAGUAGAAGGUAAAACUGAUACCUGAAGCUUCUGUAGACCUUAAAUAUUAUUAAUGCUAAUCUCAAGGUAUAUAGAUUUAUCUGUAUUAUCUCGAUUUUAACUUAAUAUGAUUUUUGAAUUUAUUUCAAUAAUUUCUAUUGGGGUGGUAUAUUUAUUAGUGAUAGUAAGUGCUCUAGGAUUUGACUAAAAGUAUUUAUUGUAAUAAAAAGUUAUACUGGUACUCUAAUUUAAUUAUAGUUAAUAAGUAAAAAAACAUAAGCCUCCUUAAUAAAAUAUUCAAAUCAAGUAAGGCUACGCGCUGAAUUUAA
This 411-nucleotide unclassified non-coding RNA is filed under the name uncultured fungus. RNAcentral's name for it is "partial contains ITS1, 5.8S rRNA and ITS2". Lineage: Eukaryota; Fungi. The record is from RNAcentral.